RNAcentral lists this ribosomal RNA (46 nucleotides) under Aspergillus awamori. The record is from RNAcentral. Lineage: Eukaryota; Fungi; Ascomycota; Eurotiomycetes; Eurotiales; Aspergillaceae.
CUUAAAGCAUUCUGUAUAUAUAUCUUGGUUUAACGAUUAAUCUGGU